GAUGAACGCUAGCUACAGGCUUAACACAUGCAAGUCGAGGGGUAACGAGAGGGAAGCUUGCUUUCCUUGUCGACGACCGGCGCACGGGUGAGUAACGCGUAUCCAACCUGCCCCCAACUAGGGAAUAACCUUGCGAAAGUAAGACUAAUACCCUAUAAUUUCCUCAGAUGUCAUCUGACGAGGAAUAAAGAUUUAUCGGUUGUGGAUGGGGAUGCGUCUGAUUAGCUUGUUGGCGGGGUAACGGCCGAACAAGGCAACGAUCAGUAGGGGUUCUGAGAGGAAGGUCCCCCACAUUGGAACUGAGACACGGUCCAAACUCCUACGGGAGGCAGCAGUGAGGAAUAUUGGUCAAUGGGCGGAAGCUUGAACCAGCCAAGUAGCGUGCAGGAUGACGGCCCUAUGGGUUGUAAACUGCUUUUAUACAGGAAUAAAGUUAGCCACGUGUGGUUAUUUGUAGGUACUGUAUGAAUAAGGACCGGCUAAUUCCGUGCCAGCAGCCGCGGUAA
RNAcentral lists this ribosomal RNA (506 nucleotides) under uncultured bacterium. Its description in RNAcentral is "partial 16S ribosomal RNA". It matches the Rfam family "Bacterial small subunit ribosomal RNA", at positions 28 to 523 of the family's 1533-position model. The record is from RNAcentral.